This 305-nucleotide ribosomal RNA is filed under the name uncultured bacterium. RNAcentral describes it as "bacterial SSU rRNA". It matches the Rfam family "Bacterial small subunit ribosomal RNA", at positions 338 to 640 of the family's 1533-position model. The record is from RNAcentral.
CCUACGGGGGGCAGCAGUGAGGAAUAUUGGUCAGUGGACGAGAGUCUGAACCAGCCAAGUAGCGUGAAGGAUGACUGCCCUAUGGGUUGUAAACUUCUUUUAUAUGGGAAUAAAGUUUUCCACGUGUGGAAUUUUGUAUGUACCAUAUGAAUAAGGAUCGGCUAACUCCGUGCCAGCAGCCGCGGUAAUACGGAGGAUCCGAGCGUUAUCCGGAUUUAUUGGGUUUAAAGGGAGCGUAGGGGGAUUGUUAAGUCAGUUGUGAAAGUUUGCGGCUCAACCGGAAAAUUGCAGUUGAAGCUGGCAGG